RNAcentral lists this long non-coding RNA (539 nucleotides) under Mytilus galloprovincialis (Mediterranean mussel). The record is from RNAcentral. Lineage: Eukaryota; Metazoa; Mollusca; Bivalvia; Mytilida; Mytilidae.
AAACAUAAUAUUUUUUAUGCCCCACCUACGAUAGUAGAGGGGCAUUAUGUUUUCUGGUCUGUGCGUCCAUUCGUCUGUCUGUCUGUCUGUCUGUCUGUCUGUCUGUCUGUCUGUCUGUCUGUCUGUCUGUCUGUCUGUCUGUCUGUUCGUCCGUCUGUCCCUCUUCAGGUUAAAGUUUUUGGUCAAGGUAGUUUUUGAUGAAGUUGAAGUCCAAUCAACUUGAAACUUAGUACACAUGUUCCUUAUGAUAUGAUCUUUCUAAUUUUACAGCCAAAUUAAACUUUUGACCCCAAUUUCAUGGUCCACUGAACAUAGAAAAUGACAGUGCAUGUUUCAGGUUAAAGUUUUUGGUCAAGGUAGUUUUUGAUGAAGUUGAAGUCCAAUCAACUUGAAACUUAGUACACAUGUUCUCUAUGAUAUUAUCUUUCUAAUUUUAAUGCCUAAUUAUAUUUUUUAUCCAAUUUCAUGGUCCAUUGAACAUGGAAAAUAAUAGUGCGAGUGGGGCAUCCGUGUACUUUGGACACAUUCUUGUUUAUUGU